UUACAAUAGAAGUACUGUAUGUAGUUCCUAGUAUACUACACCACACAGUCCUCUGACAAAUUAACUAUCCAGACACAAUGGCAAUCCAAGAUCUAGACACCAUCUUAUUGUUUCAAAAUACUAUGCAUAAUUGCUUAUUGCCUUAAUAAUCAUCUCUAAUUCACCCCCUCAUGACCUGAAGUCAUUUUCCCCUUACACUGCACAGAUACAGAAAGUUGUUGUGGGUCAAUCUGUUAGCAGUUUUCUUAAACUCUGGGAUUGAAUCCAAGACUCAGACAGAUGUGAUUAAUAAUGGCUGUUUCCCUAAUAAGUUGUGAUAGGAUGUGAUGUAAACAAGUCAGGAAUCUCCACCAGCAAACAGGAGUACUUAAAGAAUGCAGAAGUUGAACCUCCAAUUGUAAAGGGAGGAAAACGAAUCUCGGACCGUCCAGCAACUUUGUUUAAAACUAUGAAGUGAGCGCAAAGUCAUCAAACAGAAAACACUGGACUUGAAGGUUUAUAAUAACAGCUACCAGCUAUCUCCUGCUGAUCCACUUCUGAAGCAGUGUGAAGAUGGAUUUUGCUGUUUUUCUUUGCUUGUUUUUUGCCGUUAAAUUGUUUUGAUCGGAUGACCUAAUUUAUGAUGUUUGCCUGUCUAUUUUUGAACUGGUAGUAACAUGAAGUUCUGCAGACCAGUUUUCAGUUCGGAUCACUCAAACAGUUUGAAGACGAGAGCACCUAGCAAACGAGCUGGGCAGAGGACUGUGCUGGUCUGCACCUGUCCCGGGCGCCUCUCUCUUCGGCCGGGGGGUCGCCGGUGGUCCUCUCUUCGCCUGACCCACCUGAAGGGCACGACGGCCGCCUCACAAGACGUCUACAGCAGCUCGCAGCCCCGUACGGAGGCGGACCGGUAGUUCAUUAUGCUUGUGAAUCUGCUGUCCGAGAGGAACUGUACCUUCUCGUCUGGAGAGGAGGAGGGGGACGGGGGGGUGAGGGGUGCGCACGGCUGCCCCGAUCUUCUGCUCUAGUUGAAGAAAGGAAACAUGAUACAAGUCAUUGAAAAAGCAAACUAACCCAGUGAAGGGAGCGCAGUUUGUAUUGCUGUCACACGGUGCUUUAUGGUGACACAAGAUAAGGCAGGUAACGCUCAGCACUGCAGAAGUUAACUAAGUGGAAAGUACUUCACUGUGAGAAUGUUAUAUCGAACGCUUUCCAAAUGGAUAAUGAGUUUAGCACAUUUAUGCGUAACACAAACCUUCCAAAAGCAUGAAUAUUUGUGGCGAACCCCCCCAAAGCUCAUAACAUUAUUAUACUGAUUUUGACAGCUCAGCUUGAUCUGGGAUCAAAGAAUUUUUUCAGUAUUCAAAAGGUUUACAAAGUUGAAAGGACAUUUUUUACAUUGUGUUUUAAUUGUGAAAAUAAAUCUCUCAUUCUACAAUUAUCAGACUCUUCAUCUGUCGUUUCCGGGGGCUGUGUAAAAUAAAUACACGCAUGUAUUCAUAGAUCAAUGUCAAAACACCGCAAGGAUGUAAAAGAGCCAAAAUACGCGUUCCACUCCUUGUUUCGUGUCAACGUUCAGAAGAACUACACGUUCCAUUAAUUUGAAAGGUAUUAAUAAAAGACAUCUUUGUCGUUUUUGGAAUUAUGCCCUAGAUGCUGAUGCAUGCAUAUGAAAUGCAAAUAUAUUUGUGUACAUUUUAAUUGUGAUGAAUGUAUACAAUAAAG
This is a long non-coding RNA of Lepisosteus oculatus (spotted gar), 1704 nucleotides long. Lineage: Eukaryota; Metazoa; Chordata; Actinopteri; Semionotiformes; Lepisosteidae. The record is from Ensembl.